UCACUGAUCCUCCCCUCUCACCCCCAGAUGAUGAUCAUCUUGGGAGUGAUUUGCGCCAUCAUCCUCAUUAUCAUCAUAGUUUACUUCAGCACUUAAAUCCCCGAGGAGUCUGCCCUGCCUAGAGAAGGGCCUCUCCCCCCACCCUCAGCCGUUCCUUCACCUCUCAGCCAUAUCUUUCAGUCCCCCUCCCCUGGAUCCGUGUGUGUGUGUCUGUGUGUGUGUCCCCCUGUAAAUAGCCAGCUGUUAUUUAUACAUAUAUAAUAUUAUAUAUAUUUGGUCUGUUUGUAGUUUUAUUACUAGAAGAUUUUUCCGGUUGUCCUUAACACCCUCCCUGAGGUUCCCUGCACCUCCUCUCUCUUGCCUUCCUUUCCUUUCCCUUUCUUCCUGACUAGCCCCAAGUCCCUUCAUUUGCAUCUGCUAUGCAAUAGUCCCUCUCCUCUCCUCCUUCCCUCGGAUUUAGCUGAUCCUUCCUCCCACCCUGGCCUUCCUUUCCUCCUCCCUCUCCCCUUCUUCCUGCUCCCUCUGCUCCGCCCUCAAAAAAAAAAAAAAAACGAAAAGCACCUGUCCGGGCUUCCUUAGGUGCAUCUUCUUUGCAUCCAUUAGGAGGCUCUGAGACUGGCCCCACUUGGUCCUAAGAAUCCCAAGGUCUUUGGGAGCGUCCAGCAUGUUAAUUAGCGUAUCAUUGCAUACUGCAGUCUCUUUCCAUUUCUUUUUGUUCCAUCACUCCUCUCUUAAUCUGUGUUUCUUAUUUUUACUGAGGAGUUAGUCCCCAUUAGUACUUGUAUUACCUUUUCAUUUGCACGACAUUACUUGCAGGUGGUGGGAGCCUGGGCUUUUGGGGAAUCAGGCUGCUCUGGCCCCCAGCAUUGCCUCCUUCUAGCCCUCUAGUCCAGUUUGCCUCCCUUACCCUCAUUUUCCAAACCUCUUGUGCCCCCCUCUCCCUCCCCCAGCUGGUGUGUGAGUGUCUUGGAGUUCAGUAUGUUAUGAUGGACCAAUAAUUCUGCCACUCGGGGUCUUUCCCCACAUUCCUGCUCCCCAGUUUUCAUGUGGGGCACUCAACUGACAUUCCCAUGGGGUUUCCCUCCCUCCCAUCUGCCUGAUCCACCUCCUCCUCCCAGCAGGAGAGUUGGGGGUUGGCCACAAUUGAUCUCUUGGGAGGGGUGGCUACCAGUGUGGGGGGGGGGUCAUCACUGCCUUGGGGAGGAGUGGGGCAGGGCAGAGAAUCCCCCCAGUUCCUGCCUGAAAUCUCUGGCUUCACCCCUGCUGGGGGUUGGACUGAAAACCCUCCUUCCCAAUUUGGGGGGUGUUGCCCCCGUCACUGCCCAGCUCCUCUGACUGCCCCUGCCCUGAAUUUAGGGUGGGGGUACUAGUCACUGCCAAUGUGUGUAUGGGACUUGCUGGAAAAUGAGGAUCCUUGCCCCUCUCCAGGGCUAUUUGAACCCAGAGAGAGCUGUCCUCUCAUUGGGUGAAGUGAUAGAGGAAGGGUCUAUUGUCUUUUUAAAUGGCACAAUUUUAAGGGUCUGAGGGUACAGUCCCUUAACCUGCCACGGGAGGGGGGCCCCCAAACACUCUUCCCCCCACACUCGAGAUUUUUUGUGUGGAGGGGUAGCAGGGAUAUCUAAGCUGUGGUGUGAAAGGGUAGGAGAGAUGCUGGGGGUGGGGGUGCUGUGUUCUAGACCCCCCAUAUUAUCCCAGUGUCCCCUGCCCCCCUCUUCCCCCACCCCAUUCCCCCAAUUCUGUGGCGCAUCCAGAUUGUGAAAAUGUACAAUAAAUGUGUAAUGAGUAACCA
Saimiri boliviensis boliviensis (Bolivian squirrel monkey) is the source of this 1789-nucleotide non-coding RNA. NCBI's taxonomy places the organism in Eukaryota, Metazoa, Chordata, Mammalia, Primates, Cebidae. The record is from RefSeq and is a predicted model, not a curated record.